This 55-nucleotide ribosomal RNA is filed under the name Ailuropoda melanoleuca (giant panda). RNAcentral's name for it is "similar to 28S ribosomal RNA". The record is from RNAcentral. Lineage: Eukaryota; Metazoa; Chordata; Mammalia; Carnivora; Ursidae.
GUGGGGAACCUGGUACUAAACCAUUCAUAGACAAGCUGCUUCUGAGUCUGGGUUU